This 721-nucleotide ribosomal RNA is filed under the name Bacillus mycoides. RNAcentral describes it as "bacterial SSU rRNA". It matches the Rfam family "Bacterial small subunit ribosomal RNA", at positions 77 to 781 of the family's 1533-position model. Lineage: Bacteria; Bacillati; Bacillota; Bacilli; Caryophanales; Bacillaceae. The record is from RNAcentral.
AGCUUGCUCUUAUGAAGUUAGCGGCGGACGGGUGAGUAACACGUGGGUAACCUACCCAUAAGACUGGGAUAACUCCGGGAAACCGGGGCUAAUACCGGAUAAUAUUUUGAACUGCAUAGUUCGAAAUUGAAAGGCGGCUUCGGCUGUCACUUAUGGAUGGACCCGCGUCGCAUUAGCUAGUUGGUGAGGUAACGGCUCACCAAGGCAACGAUGCGUAGCCGACCUGAGAGGGUGAUCGGCCACACUGGGACUGAGACACGGCCCAGACUCCUACGGGAGGCAGCAGUAGGGAAUCUUCCGCAAUGGACGAAAGUCUGACGGAGCAACGCCGCGUGAGUGAUGAAGGCUUUCGGGUCGUAAAACUCUGUUGUUAGGGAAGAACAAGUGCUAGUUGAAUAAGCUGGCACCUUGACGGUACCUAACCAGAAAGCCACGGCUAACUACGUGCCAGCAGCCGCGGUAAUACGUAGGUGGCAAGCGUUAUCCGGAAUUAUUGGGCGUAAAGCGCGCGCAGGUGGUUUCUUAAGUCUGAUGUGAAAGCCCACGGCUCAACCGUGGAGGGUCAUUGGAAACUGGGAGACUUGAGUGCAGAAGAGGAAAGUGGAAUUCCAUGUGUAGCGGUGAAAUGCGUAGAGAUAUGGAGGAACACCAGUGGCGAAGGCGACUUUCUGGUCUGUAACUGACACUGAGGCGCGAAAGCGUGGGGAGCAAACAGGAUUAG